UACGUAGGGUGCGAGCGUUAAUCGGAAUUACUGGGCGUAAAGCGUGCGCAGGCGGUUUUGUAAGUUUGUCGUGAAAGCCCCGGGCUCAACCUGGGAAUUGCGAUGAAGACUGCAAGGCUUGAAUCUGGCAGAGGGGGGUAGAAUUCCACGUGUAGCAGUGAAAUGCGUAGAGAUGUGGAGGAACACCGAUGGCGAAGGCAGCCCCCUGGGCCAAUACUGACGCUCAUGCACGAAAGCGUGGGGAGCAAACAGG
Molecule: ribosomal RNA, 253 nt
Filed under: uncultured bacterium
Lineage: Bacteria
Description: partial 16S ribosomal RNA
Rfam family: Bacterial small subunit ribosomal RNA
Source: RNAcentral